GUGCGAUAAGUAAUGUGAAUUGCAGAAUUCCGUGAAUCAUCGAAUCUUUGAACGCAAAUUGCACUUCCUGGCACCCCGGGAAGUAUGCCUGUUUGAGGGUCAUCUUAAUAAAAAUCGGCGUGUUGCUCUGUGACGCUCCGGAGUUUGGGUCAUCUUUAACUUUCGGGUUUUAAGAGGCUUAAAAUUGAUCUUUUUGCGCACUUUUUAGACGUACAUAAAUUUUUUUUUAUCGUCUAUUCUAGUGCCAAAUCCUUAUUAGGUGCGAUCAUGACAUUGAUUUCGUGCCUAUAAAUUCUCAUAUUUUGACCUCAAAUCAGGUAGGGAAACCCGCUGAACUUAA
This 340-nucleotide unclassified non-coding RNA is filed under the name uncultured Glomeraceae. RNAcentral describes it as "partial contains 5.8S ribosomal RNA, internal transcribed spacer 2, and large subunit ribosomal RNA". The stretch from base 1 to 102 matches the Rfam family "5.8S ribosomal RNA", at positions 53 to 154 of the family's 154-position model. The record is from RNAcentral. Lineage: Eukaryota; Fungi; Glomeromycota; Glomeromycetes; Glomerales; Glomeraceae.